GCGACUGCUGGGCACCGGGCGGCCCCGCGCCCCCGCCUCAGGCGGCCGGCCGGGCCCGGCUGCGCGCGGAAGCCGCCUUCGGUACCGUCGCUCGCACGCCUCGUUCCCGGAGACAAGUUUCCUGCUUGUUUCAGUCUCAAGCUGUGGUCAGGAGUAUACUUCUCAACAUCAUCUGCAUUUGUUGAAGCAGAAAAAGAAUUUGUUUUACCCAUUAGAUGAGCACUCAGCUCACUUCAGAGCAGCCAAGGACACUCCAACAGCAAUGUUUUAGUCACAUACCACCUUUCCAAAAGGGAAUUUUAAUUUGGAGGUGAACAUAUUUGAAGACUUUGUAAAGAAAGCAUGCACAUUUCACUUAUUCUCUGUCAGUGCCUACGGUAAUGACUGGAAAUGAUAGACCAGGGAUCUCAACAAGCUUUUUAUGCGUGGCUGUGCAAAGGCAGAACAUGAUUCCUCCAAAGAUUUGCAGUUUUGUGGAAAAGGAAGAUCACAGACUGCAUUUUUCUAUAAACAUUAUUCUCGUGGCCUUUUCAGGCUUUUCUCCUGAUUUGAAGUUUUCGUCUAUCCAGUCCAAGAACAGAAACAAACCCCUAGGCAUUACACAGUCAAAGAGGCAACACAGCUUUGCACAGCUAAGGCUGUGUUCAGAAUAUGGAGUAUCGUGAACAACCACCGUUUCACUACUUACCCCCCCCACGCACUUGCUUUAACAUUCUUAGUGCUAUUCCACCUAGAAGAAGGAAGAAACCAAGCCUAUCUCUUUCCUAGGCCUGAGUUGUGACAGUGGGUCUGUUUCCCACGGGACCUGAGCAGGCUGCUGAAAUGGGCCUGCUGGUAUCUCAUAAAGUUCAACAAAUUGAAAUGCAAAGUCCUUCACCUGGGGUGGAACAGCCCCAUGUACCAGGAGAGGCUGUGGAGCGACCUGGUGGAAAGCAGCCCUGCAGAGGAGGACUUUGGGGUCCUGGUGGACAAGUUUGACAUAGAACAGCAAUAGCACCCUCACAGCAAAAAAGUCCAACAGCAGCGUGGGCUGCAUUAGGAAGAGUGUCACUAGCAGCUCAGGGGAGAUGAUUUUUCCUCUCUACCAUGUAAAUAAUAACAAUUUACAUUCUAUUCCUAGAUAAACCAGGAUAGUGCUCUUGCAGUUUGUGGCUUGCACAUCCUUCCUUAUGCAUGUUAGAUCGCUAGCUGAUUCCUUAAAGAUCAGAGGAAAAGAGUUCUGACUAAAAGCUGGCAAAAUGUAGUUCUUAAAAUUAAUUGCAGGAUUAACCUACUUGCUUUUGGAUGGAAAGCUCCCAGAAUCUUUCCAACACCAAUACUCAGCAGCAACAUAACAAAUUACCAUGGAUCAGAUGAUGCUUCCACUAAAAUCAGUGGAAUUUUUGCUGUUGACUUGAACUGAAAACAACAGUGAAUCCUAGCUGCGUGUUUCAGAAAACAGAAAUAUUCCAUCAUCACCCUUGAAACAAAGUAAAUGCCCCAGCCUGCUGAGCAAGAUCGCUCUGGUGAAGAUGUUAAAAGGGUGCUAGAGGAGGUGACCAGAAGCAGGGUGUACUCAAGCCUCAGAUAAAUUUCUUUGUGGAAACUGCUGAUAAAGCCACAUUUGAAAUUAUAUGCUGGGCUAAGAACAGGAACAGCUGAUGUGCCAGCACACAGCCCUUGCCAUUCCCCGCUGAGGCAGUGGUGAUCCCGGAAGAGCUGGAGAAACGCUGUGACAAGCCUGUGGGUUGAAGCACCACAGCCAAAUUCCCCAGAGCUUACCUGCCAUACCCUGCACUCCAGGAGACCACACUGCUACAGUCUGUUGGUCACCAUGAAACCCGUAAAACUGUUUGUACGUGAGUUAAUUGCCAGACUGGGGUAAGUAAAGGAUCUUGCUGCCUCCCUCGUUAGAUCCCUCAAGCACUCUGUUUGCUUUGUUAUUCUUCUUUUCUGAACUAUUUUGCUGUUUUGUCACGGGGAAUUGAAAAGCUUUUCCAGGCUGAACUGAACCCAGGCUGAACUGUACUUACGUAUCUUUUACCUGAAAUGGAAUAUGCCACAGACUAUAAGGCAUUAUUGUACAACUGUUUUCUUUUCAAGUUUCAAGACAGAGGUCAAAAGGAUAUAAACCAAUGGAAUAAACCAGGGGUGGAGAUGAAAUAGCUCAAGAGCAGCUGGACACAAUCUCAAGUGUUUAGGAUGUCUGUUUUUUUUGUUGUUGUUUUGUUUUUUUUCAUAUUGAUUAUCUUCAUUCAUAGUAGAGAUGUCAAUCUAAUGGUACAACAGAAUCAGCAUUUUUAGAAGUGAUCUCUUAUUCAGAUACCUUCAUUCCCCUGUUGGUUUUGCUCUGAGAGGAACCAAUCACAGCUUGUCGCAGCCUAGUAGCCUCGCACUUAAAAAGAUUAUUUUAGAUGACAGCAUAUUUGCCCUUUCUAUUCUUCCACUCCUUUAACCUACACAAAGGGAUAGUAGAGGACACGACAUUUUGCAGGUCCCUCUGUGUGUUUCCACUAGACUGACAGAGAAAGGUAAUUCCUUUGUCCCCAGGGGAAUCUGUGUCAGACCUAUCUCUGGGCACCACACCCACCUCUGGCCACCAGACCCUGUGGUCUCCGUUUCUCUCUGUCUCUUCAACCCUUCUAAUUUGCUGGUUUGUGUGUGUGUCUGUUUUCUUAUGGUAGCCAUGAGAUUCCUGUAAUGAAUGUGAAGAUCUGGCCCAUGUUUCUGAACAAAUCCUUCUCCAAAGCGGGCAGUAGAACCAGGAAGUUCCCUUCCUUAUUCCUGGUGUUUUAAGGGGGACAGGAGAGGAGGGGCAGGUUACUGAAUAUCAGUAAUCCUUUUUUCCAUCCUGGUAACUCCCUAUACUUUGAAUGCAGAAACUAAAAGAAGGGUGGAUUUCUUAAGAAAUCAUCUUAAAAUGCUUUCUUUUUUAAAGUGUGUAUGUAAAAAAUAUAUAUCCAAUUCCAAAUUCCAUAUAUCCAUAUAUAUAUAUCCAUAUUCCAAGUGCUUAAGAAAGCAUCUUAAAAUGCUUUCUAAUUCUGUGAAAAUCGAAACUUUUGGAAGAAGUGCUUGGAAAGCUUCCUUCCACCCUCAAAUGUCGUAGGGCUCACCAGAUCCUGUUAUUAAGGAGUCUUUCAGUGCAGAUGUAAUGUGUGAAGUCUAAUACUCUACUGGAGGUGGAAAGGGUGCGUGCAUAUUUGUGUGUGCGCUCACAUAAAUAACUAGGUGGCUUUCAGUAAUUUGGAUGGCAUUCAAAGAUUUUAUCGUGGGUACUAGGCUGUCUUAAUAAUUGUGCAUGGAGGACUCCUCAUCACACCUCAUCUGAAAAUGGAAACCCACUCCUUUAAAGGUCAUCUUUCCAGGCACAGAAAGCUUCCCUGCAGUCCACCCUGACACACAGGAAAACACCCAGAGACUUCCAAAUUACACAAAUUAGCAGUUGAGAAAGAGAACUAUCCCUUCGAGCUGUUUUAACUACAUGAGCUCACUAUUGAGCUCACUGUUUUUUGUUUUUUUCCUAUUAAGGAAACAGAAAAUGUUUCUUAAUUGUAAGAAAUUUCUUCAUUUCUGUCCUGAAAAUGACAUUUUAAUUCAAAUACAGUAACAGGGAAGUGAUGGUUCAGCAAAGAGAGAGCAGAAAAUGGUUCAUUGGACUGAAACCUUCUUGAAUUAGCAGGGACUGACAGCCUUUUCAUUUGAGAAAAUACUUGCCAUCAUCAGUCCAGUUACCAGUGGGUUGAUGCUCACUCAGAAAAACAUGAUCAUAUUGCUGGAAGUAUGAGCAGAGAUGCCAAAGAAAGUGUGAAUAUAUAGUGCUCAGUAAUCUCUCACACAUCUAGAAAUGCAUCUUCGUAAGACACUUCUUUGUACAAAGAUCCAUCGACAGGAUCAUAAAUUCCUUAUAUACGUAAUGAACCAAAAAACUGUCUUGGAUCCUGCCAAGCAAUAGAUGGCAUAGGUUUCUCUGUCAUUAUUCUCAGAAAAAUGCCAUCACAUUUUUCAGAGGUCUCAGCAGGGAAGUCUAAGACCCUGUGACUAUACAGCGCCCAUGAACUUGUCCUUCAGCCUGCAAUGCUGUGAGCCCUUGGAUAUGCCAAAGAGACCACAUUCCUAGGAGACAGGGGAAAGAAAAUGGAAAAAAAAUUAGGCCACAGUGAAGCCUUUCUAAAAAGUGCUGGGGGAACCAUUGCUUAUCAUGAUAGUGACAAACUUCUGAGGUAUGUUGUCUUGUACUUAGGAAUUCUGAGCAGGAAUGGAAGUGAUCGUAUCCGUAACUGAAGUGUAAGAUACAAGUACGUCUUAAACAAAGAGAAGUCUGCAAUACUGCAGACUAUAGGCAGCACUUACCUGCCUAGGCUCUUCCCAUCUUAAUGAUUAGUCACUGAUUUUUAUGUGUAUCCUUGCGAGCAAGCAUAUGUACACAGACCCGAACUACCGUACCUUUCACAAUAGACAGGCAUAUGCUGAUACAGACUGUGCUUUUUUUUGAAACCAUGCCACAGCAUUUUUAGCACAGCUUUAUAAAGCUUCUCAUGCAAGUGAAAGGCUCACUCCUUGUUAAGUAGCAUGUCACAGGAAACCAAGGAAAGGAAAACCACUGUGCACCUCUUCUUAUAAUUUCCAUUUAUCAAAUCUUUAGCAAUAUUUUUACUGAUAACUCUGUUUUGUCUCUACUAGGACAUCUAGAAGUAGUAAAAUCAUUUUUCUUUUUGCAUGAAGAGUAUCUUAAAGUGUACCGUAGCUUUGAAGAGACAAUUAGUAUUUUGACCCCCUGUUAUUAAUUCCUUAAUUUCCCUGUUGCAGCCUUGAGGAUUCUCCCUUGUUCCUCCUCCAAGUCCAGGAAUCCAUGUAUGAAGCGUAUUACUUAAUUUCAAUUACAAUGUUAAUUAUAGAAGACAAGCGGUUACUGAAUCUUGCACCAUAAUUAAUCAACCUGAUAUUUACUUACUACAUUGUUCCUACCGGAUUAAGCUGUAGCUAGACAAGCAGGGCAAGGAAAGUGAGCGACAGAAGCAUUAUCAUGGCACACUGCCUCCCAUUGGGAAAGUUCAUCGUCCUUCUCAAAGAGACGCCUUCAGGGAUCAUGUAAUUUGAAUUCCCUGUGAAUUUGGUGUCAUCUUAGCUUGACCAGCUCUGGAAGAACAUAUUAACCUCCCCUUGUGAUUUUCAGAAAACCAUUCUAAUUUAGCAAGUAAUUAAGGGUCACAUGUAGGAUAAGGAGCUGGAUAAGCUUGGAUUACGCACAGGAAGCUUUGUCUCCACGGCAACCCCGGCGGAGAGCUGCUGGCACCGGGGUCAGGCCGUCACUGAAGCCCGCGCUGCGUUUCCACCUGGUGAGCCAGUGCUGGAAACAAACGCCCACAAAGCUGGUCAUCGCCAAAAACUCCAGGACAAAGGCUGCAGCCAGUGGGAGUGUUCUGCCGAGCGAGGUAGAGAGAAGUCCACAACAGUGACGCUUGACAGACCCCGUGUCUUUGUAAGCUAAAAUUUCUUCGGUCAUCAUCCAUGGCUUUCGCUCUGCGUGAAGCAGCCGGUGUCUGCGCAAGCUGCUGCCGCUAACGCUUGGCCUCCGAGCCCGACGUCAGCCUCUGGCUGGCUGCGGGCCGUGCCCACGGGCGGCAGGGCACGGGGCACCCCAGCUCAGGGCAUGACGCCCCGUCCCAGGGCUGCAGGCUCUCGGAGACAAUCUCCUAGAUCUGUCGGGGCAGGCACGGUGGGUUAACUCCACAGGCAUGGCUAAAAUAUCCAAGCAGCUCGUUCGGACACGUACCUUUUAUUUUUAGCUUUGAAACCAGGAAAACAACGUUUUUCUUUCUCGCUCUGGAGGAACUUUCAGAUUUCUAUCAAAUUUAAAAUCAACUCCCCUGACUUCAGAAAUUCCUUGUUCUCACCAGCUUUUAUUUCUAUGAAAAUAUACAGGCUUUCCAGUGGAAGAGGCUUUUUAACAAGCAAAUAAGUUAACAUUUUCUGUUAACGUUGCUUAAUGUAAGAAACAUUAGGGAAUCCAAUUAUUGUGCUAUAAAGCAGCAUUACUGAAAUAUUAUAGGGUACAAAGAGUACCUAUUUGAUGACCUAUUGGAUAUGAAAUGCUUUCUGAAUUCGUUUGUACCUUAGCUAUCUCCUGUGAUCUGUGAGGGAAAGAACCACGCAGGUUUUUUUCAAAGCUCUCUUCAAAACAAAUAAGCAUUCUCUACUUUUUGCUAAAAUCAGAUGACAUUGUCAUACUAUCCAUUUUAACAGUUGGGCCCAUUCUUGGAUCUGGAAUGCAGGUACAUCUAACUUUAUACCAUAAUUUUUGUAAAUGCGUCUCCGUUGUGGAUAUAUAAAUGAGGACAAUUUUUAUUUCACCUUCUCUCUGCUAUUUUCAUGUGCAGCCUUUGUUUUGCAGUAGACCACUGCUGGCACUGCGGGAAUUGAGACACUCCACUCUCUCGAACAUGUACAUUAGAACUUGCCAUAAAAAGAAGACUGUGAUGAAGGUGAGCUGAGAACCUGUCAUGUUUGUGGCGGCCACUGGCCCCAGCGAGUCUCCAGUGAGCGUUACAUAUACUGCUGCUCACAGAAAACUGACCAAAGGAGAGCACUGCAAGGAGGAGAGAUCUGGAAAACACAGCUGUCAGUAAAGGCACACUUCUUACAUCAGUAAAGAUUAGAUGAAGGGGAGCACACCACAGCCCAUCAAACAUAAAAAUGGUUCUUUUUUUAAAAAAAAAAAACACAAAACAGAAACAAAUUUACCUUCUGUGUCGACAAGUAACUGUUAAAAAGAAUAGUGGCUUUAAAUGAGUAUUGGUUUUAAACAGGAAAUUUUGUAUUUGUUACAACUGCAGAGUACCUGGAGAGAGUGCUGACAAGGCAUAGCAUCUCUGCACAGGCUUUAUUGGGAAAAGUGUCUGUGCUGCAGUGUCUGCUUGGCACUAUGCAGGACAGAUCAUCUCUGAGAAUUCCUUCCUUUCUAUCUGCUUCCUGUGAUAAUCCUUGCUCUGCUUUAUUCUUCGUAUUUCACAGUUCCAGGCUAAAAAAAGUCACAAUAGUAUCUAAUUCCUCAAGUGGUAUUACCAAGACAGUUAAAGGACUUCAGAAGUGUUGUUAGUAAUAAUUUGUUUGCACGUAAAAAUGCUGUACAGACUGAGAUAGGGACAGAGAACAUUCUCUGGUUAUUUUAUUAUUUUAUUUAUCGUGCUACAUCUUUGGUUCCCCUGGCCUGGACUAACAUUAGAGUUUCUAAAAUAAAGUAUCCUUGUUCAAACAUUAUUAUGAUGCCAUUUUGUUGCAGAAAAUGUUCUGUGGCUCUUCUCUUGGCUGCAAGUUGUCUUCCACACCUUGUGGUGCAUGGUAUGCUGUUGCAGGUGACUUCUGAGUGAGCUUAGGCAAAGCUUCAGCUGUGCUAAAAAUUGCUUGGAAGUUCACUGGCAUGAAUUUAUCUUGAUAUGGAACAAAUAAAAAUAUCCUGCCUGACUUAAAGUUCAGGCUGCAAAGUAAUUUUUGUACCUAUCUUCGUAUUAGUCAUAUUUAGUAUUUAGGCAGGAUCAGAAUCCCAACACCACUGAGAUACAAGGAAAGCUUUUAGCUUAACCUGAUUCCUGGCAGGUCUCAAUUCAGCAUCUGAUCUAGCAGAUGUACCAGCCAAAAUUUUACCAAGGGUAACAAGUGAGCCCUAGGAUCAAGUCGGACAUUCCACAGCUUAAGUAGUGAGAAAUGCGCAAACAAGGUUAUGGUGAGGCUUUGUAGCUCCCACAUGGCCCUCAGAUACUCUUCAGCAAGCUGUCGACUUCCACAAUGGUUCCAUUCCAGCCCUUUUCUUUUUAGCACUUUAGUUAAGGAAAUACUGUUAAUGCUGGUAUUCCAUAGUAAAGGAAGCAAAUGAUUUUCACUGUGCAGAAGGCUUUGUGUUCAUAUUUGCUCCAGUUCCCACAACAAAUAGCAGGCUAGUGAGCAAAAUCAUGAGUAUGAGGUAAAGGCAAGGCACAUCCCCCUCAGCCACCAGUUUAGGGAUGCCAUCACAGAUUUAAAAAAUGGCAGGAGACACCAUUUGCUAAUUAUUAUUCCCAGAUCAAAACUAAACCUUAGAAAUAAUGCUUAGUCAUAAAUUAACAAACAUUAGCCUAAGAGCGUUUGUGCUGAACUGACAUUUCCAAAGCGACCAAUAUUCAGGAAGAGACAUUUUCAGACUUUAUUGUACAGAGCAGCGGAAAGAAGGAUGAGGAAAGGCAGGGAAGUUUCACUCACCUGCCUCUCCUGUGCUACUUGCUUUCCCUGGGGACAUUACCAACGGCAGCAGUGACAGGCAAGUGGCUUUUCCACAUGAGAUGCUGUGCCACCGUACCGGGGAUACAGAGGGACAGCUGACAAACCCCCUCUCAGGUCAGAGAUGACAGAUUUGUUGUCCACUGGUGGUAGGAGCCACUGGCUCAGGUUCACCUGUGAGCUGGCCUGAAGGUACACCAAGGAACCAGUCCCAGCAGAAACAAAAGCCAAGAAGUUUUGAAUGAUUUGGAGAACUGGCUGGUGGUACUGAGCCUGUGACAGAGGGGACAAACUUGUCAUCAUCGGCCAACUUCUCUCCGGAGCCCAUACAUAUGACGUACAUGUGAAAAAUGCAACCUUGCACCUACUGAAAGAUCAUACCACAUGUCUGUGUAGACUAUAUGUAAACAGAUUCAGAAAUGGCAGAUUGUUUUCAGCAGUGAUGUUUGCAGCAUCCCGUUCAGAUAACUUGCAGGAUUAUUUUUGCCUGUUGCCAGGCAACAUCAGCAAUAGACCAGCUGCUUUUUGUACAUUCUCGCUAGGACUCGGAAUACUUUCAGUAGCAGGAAAUUCCAGAAUUGGUGUAGAAAUGCCGGAGGCAAUAUCAGCCCACCUACAAAAUAGGUGUAAGAUGCAGACUACUCAGCAUCACUCAAAGCCUUUUUUAGGAAAUGUGUAUGGAUAUGGCAAAACUGGGAUCUAGGAGCUCCAGAUGCAGUUGUAGUUAACCAUGCAGCCACUUGCAAGAGGUUUAAUACUAUGUACUCUAAUCAAAAUACUUUGCAUAAAACCGGCCAAAAAAAAAGUAAAAAAAAUAAAAACAUGCAAAGCAUUUUGAAAAAAGGGUAUUUAUCUUUUUCUUUUCUUCACGGGGUUCAAAAUAUUUAGGGUAUUUCCAUGUAUGAGUUGUUACUGAAAAUGACGUCCGAGUUGUUAAUUGCAUACCCUAUUUUAAAUAGCAAAAGACCAAAGUUUAAGUUUGCAAAACGCCGAAAGCCGAAGCCAGGAGAACGGCAGCACGCUCGCCACCAAGCAAGGGCCCCUGUCCUUCUAAAGGGGCGCUUGCAGGUGGGCGUGACACAGCUGCUCGCGCCUCGCUUUACGAGGACAGCGAGUUACUUCGAACCAGCAACCUGCCGUGGUUUCGGGGCCCAGCCCACCGCGGCAGCGCCGGCACGCGGUGCUGCCGCCUCGGCCUCGCCUGUGCCGCGCCCGCCCCGCCGCCGUGCCCAGGCGAUGCCGGCCUCUCCCGCGGCCGGCAAAGCGGCGGGGGACGAACGCACCCGCCUCGCCUGCGUUUUUCUGCUUGAGGUGUAAGCCGCCCCUCCGCAGCCUCUGUCGGCGGGGAGGAAUGUAGCGGAAUCCUUAAGCAAACAGAAGUCUUCCGGUUUUUGGUCUUCAGGAAUACUGAUGUUUCCACAAUACUGGGCUUGCCCUUUGAAGCCAUACCAGGAAGCAUGCAAGAGAAGCAUCUUUAGGAGUGCGUAUGUUCAGUUACCACCUUGUGUGAAGAUGUGGCCGAGAAGGCUGUUGAGGUGGCUGAGGAAAGAGAAGGGGACUGACAGGUGUGACCCUUGCAGUGCCAUGCAAAAGAUCCCUUCUGCUGUCUCCCACCCUUUGCAGCACUUUGGGACCAGCUUGUUUGGCCUUCUGGUUCAGAAGUUGUGUCGGCUACAUCUGUGCUCCAGACGAAACAGCACCAGGAGCUGCUUUCUGCCACAAGGCCAUUUAGCACAGGUUGGAUAAUAAGUAUUUCUCUAAGCCAUGUGAAGGCUUCAGUCCAGGGAUUUUUCUCAGUGUAACGUACACUGCCAAAUUUAGGCUUCUCCUACCGUCCAACAGCUUUCUCCCCCAGGUCCAUGUUAGUCUACUGACUGAAGUACGUGCUCAAGAAGCAAGAUAACCAGUCCAAUUAUCUCCUCAUCUACAGGAAGUACACACAUUUCAAAUUAUCACACCAUGUCUUUUUAGGAGAAAGGGUAAGGAAUGGUUCUUGCCAUCCACUUCUUUCCUUUUGAAGCAGGGCAUUAUGCAGAAAAAGAGCCAGAGAAGGCAGACAGGACCCUUGUGCUGGGAGCUGGAGGUGCAUUUGGUCUCUGCUGUCUUUGUAUUUCAUGCUUGUAUGAAAAAAAAAAAAUGUACUAGGAACAGAGACCAGGAGCCAGGAGUCUUCUCUCCAGGGCAGGUGUCCUUGCUGCAGGAUACCGCGAUUGUAGGAGUCACCUAAAGAGCUCAGCCUCUGCUCCAUCUGGUCCAGGGACUAUCAGACAUGGAGAGCGGCUAAGGAGCCCUUGCAACGAAUGAGCAAGUCAUAUGUGGUGAAUCCAGUAAAUCUGCAUGGCUGCAUAGUGGCUCAGUGAAAAACUGGGCUCAGUCUGAGUGCUGAUCCCAAGCCACAGCCUGAAGACACUGUAGGACACACAGAUGGAAUCUGACACAUGCCUGUGCUCAGGCAGAAGGCUUAAGUGGAUGUAUGAGCAGCAAGAAUCACAACCAAAACACACUAUGAGGAUCGACUGAAGUGGCAGUUGACAUACAUUUUCAUGCCUCAGCAAGUAUGGAACAAAAAGCAACGACAGAAUCUGGGUAUACAGGGCAGGCACAAGGAGAUUGGCGAGGGGAAGGUGUACAUAGAGUAAAAGGCCAGCAGAGCUCUGAGGCAAUGGGCCAGGCACGGAGGUCUCCAGGGAAGCUUGUGCUGCACAAAGAGCUGGGAUGGCCUGGCUCUGAUCUUGCUGGUCCACAGCAGGCACCUUGAGGCUGUGCUUCAUGGCACAGACAUGCUGUGUUAGGCAGCAGCCAUGUACUCCCUGACAGCUGCUGCGUGCUGUUAAAGACCUUAACACCUUUGUGCUGGUAAACUGCUUGUGAGGCCACGUAAUGAGUUAGGUGAAGGAACUGAGGUUAAAAAUAGCUGUUUCCCCCUUCUUUGACAGGUUAAUUUCAAGUUCCCUGAUGCAAUUCAUUGCACUGUGCCACCUGUCCAUGUACUAGCACUGUUGGGCAGGAGGAAGCAGAGAAGGAUGCGAUGAGAUCGCAUGACCACUGAAUCAUACAAUGGUUUGGGUUGGAAGAGACUUUAAAGAUCUAAUUCCAACCCCUCUGCCAUGGGCAGGGACACCUCACACUAAAUCAGGUUGCUCAAAGCUCCAUCCAGCCUGGCCUUGAACACUUCCAGGGAUGGGGCAUCCACAGCUUCUCUGGGCAACCUGUCCCAGUGCCUCAAUUUCCUCCUUAUAUCUAAUCUAAGCCUACCCUCUUUUAGUUUAAAGCCAUUGAGUGGCUAAGAUGAAAGGAUCUUUGCCACUGAUGGAAAUGCUGGCCUCUCCUUGAGUAGGAGACAGUGCAGAGCAACUUUAAGUAAGCACAUGCACCUGAAGAGCAUGUCUUUACCAUCCAUUUAUGAAGAAGGAUUCUCAACAGAGGCAGUCAGUUUCAAACUGGAGAAUUAACUACACAGUGACGAAUGAUUGCUGGUCAGAGCUCUUACACUCCAGGCAGCGAGAGUGUUAAACCAACAUGGCCCAUGCAGACGAGACUGCAGUGUGUGAGUGCCCCCUUUUGUUCUAAUGAGACUUUGAGAGCUGUAAGGGAAUCACAAGAAAGGUGUCACAGCGCUGAAAGGUGACUUUUACAGCUAGCUGGAAAAGUGGCCUGUAACAGGGGAGGCUGACAAAACCAGGAAGGUGGCUGACAAAGCCCUGGUACUGGAAGAACAGUACAAGGAAAAUCAAGAGACAUCUGCAACCACAGGGCAGAAACGUGAGCAAGCAGAACCUCUUUCUGCAUUAUACUG
Cygnus olor (mute swan) is the source of this 12025-nucleotide long non-coding RNA. RefSeq lists it as uncharacterized. The transcript is spliced from 5 exons. Lineage: Eukaryota; Metazoa; Chordata; Aves; Anseriformes; Anatidae. The record is from RefSeq and is a predicted model, not a curated record.